This is a small nuclear RNA of Talpa occidentalis (Iberian mole), 164 nucleotides long. RefSeq annotates it as U1 spliceosomal RNA. Lineage: Eukaryota; Metazoa; Chordata; Mammalia; Eulipotyphla; Talpidae. The record is from RefSeq and is a predicted model, not a curated record. The transcript has a single exon.
AUACUUACCUGGCAGGGGAGAUAACAUGAUCACAAAGGUUUUGUUCCCAGAGUGAGGCUCAUCCUUUAUACUCCGGAUAUGCUGACCCUUACAAUUCCCCCAAAUGAGGGAAACUUGGGACUGCAUGAUUUAUGGUAGUGGAAAACUGCAUUUGCACUCUCCCU